This 468-nucleotide ribosomal RNA is filed under the name uncultured bacterium. RNAcentral describes it as "partial 16S ribosomal RNA". It matches the Rfam family "Bacterial small subunit ribosomal RNA", at positions 28 to 507 of the family's 1533-position model. The record is from RNAcentral.
GACGAACGCUGGCGGCGUGCUUAACACAUGCAAGUCGAACGGAAAGGCCCUGCUCUUGUGGGGUGCUCGAUUGGCGAACGGGUGAGUAACACGUGAGUAACCUGCCCUUGACUUUGGGAUAACUUCAGGAAACUGGGGCUAAUACCGGAUAGAAGCUCCUGCUGCAUGGUGGGGGUUGGAAAGUUUCGGCGGUUGGGGAUGGACUCGCGGCUUAUCAGCUUGUUUGUGUGGUAGUGGCUUACCAAGGCUUUGACGGGUAGCCGGCCUGAGAGGGUGACCGGCCACAUUGGGACUGAGAUACGGACCAGACUCCUACGGGAGGCAGCAGUGGGGAAUAUGGCACAAUGGGCGGAAGCCUGAUGCAGCAACGCCGCGUGCGGGAUGACGGCCUUCGGGGUGUAAACCGCUUUCGCAUGUGACGAAGCGUGCGUGAUGGUAAUGGGUAAAGAAGCACCGGCUAACUACGUG